CUGGAGUUGACUGUUGGUGAUUGUAAUUUGCUUCACUCCAUCAUGUGAUGGUGCAAGGAUCAGUGAAGGGUGAUGCAAGGACCAGUCAAGAGAAAAUACACACUGAUCUUUCCACUUGUUUGAAAUUUCCAAAAAAUGAAAUUGCCUGUUGAAAAGAAAAUUCCCAUGGUAGAUCUGAGUGAAAUCUUUCCACUUAUAUGAGUGAUCCAAAUCCCUUGGAAAGGAGAGGUUUCAGUGCUUGGUUACUACCAAAAUCCACAAUUUUCUCACUGACUGGCUGGAGAGGAAAAAGGAGCUGACACUGAGAGAUGACAAAGGAAAGAUCUGUCAACUGAAACUCUACCCAGAACUAUUUUCUGUACAAAAUAAAAUGGGGUGGUGAAGUACCAGAGUUUGCCAGGUAUGAUCCUGACAUGCUACAAAAAGAGCAAUCAUAGUUGUGCACGUCUGGUGGUCCAAAGAAUGUUCAGCCUCCUGCCUGCUUCAUUAGCCAGGAGACAGCAGUACAAGUUAGUUAUGUGCCUUUGUGAGGCUUUACAAAAACCUGUGCAUUUUAUAUGAUCCUAAUCUGCAAAAAAUUAUUCAUGGCUUUGUUUCUAUUGUUGUAAGAAAUUCCAGUUAUACAUACGCAUAUUUGCAGAAUGUAGAUGUCUCACGAUAUAUGCCAAGUACAGCCCCCAGGCUGUAUCAAGUUAUAUCAGCUCCAUGUCCAUCAUCAUUGUCAGAUGGACAAUGUCUAUGAUUUAAUAAGCACUGUUCUGAUUAUUCAUGUACUUGUGUUUUCUUUUGUUGCUUUAUGUGAGUUUGAAUGAAUGAUGCAGCAGCU
Long non-coding RNA from Passer montanus (Eurasian tree sparrow), 826 nucleotides. RefSeq lists it as uncharacterized. NCBI's taxonomy places the organism in Eukaryota, Metazoa, Chordata, Aves, Passeriformes, Passeridae. The record is from RefSeq and is a predicted model, not a curated record. The transcript is spliced from 3 exons.